GAUAGAAGAACGUAGCGAAAUGCGAUAAGUAGUGUGAAUUGCAGAAUUCAGUGAAUCAUCGAAUCUUUGAACGCACAUUGCGCCCUUUGGUAUUCCAAAGGGCAUGCCUGUUCGAGCGUCAUUUGUACCCUCAAGCUUUGCUUGGUGUUGGGCGUCUUGUCUCUAGCUUUGCUGGAGACUCGCCUUAAAGUAAUUGGCAGCCGGCCUACUGGUUUCGGAGCGCAGCACAAGUCGCACUCUCUAUCAGCAAAGGUCUAGCAUCCACUAAGCCUUUUUUUCAACUUUUGACCUCGGAUCAGGUAGGGAUACCCGCUGAACUUAAGCAUAUCAAUAAGCGGAGGA
This 342-nucleotide unclassified non-coding RNA is filed under the name soil metagenome. RNAcentral describes it as "partial contains 5.8S ribosomal RNA, internal transcribed spacer 2, and large subunit ribosomal RNA". The stretch from base 5 to 121 matches the Rfam family "5.8S ribosomal RNA", at positions 38 to 154 of the family's 154-position model. The record is from RNAcentral.